This 354-nucleotide ribosomal RNA is filed under the name Triticum aestivum (bread wheat). RNAcentral's name for it is "partial small subunit ribosomal RNA". The record is from RNAcentral. Lineage: Eukaryota; Viridiplantae; Streptophyta; Magnoliopsida; Poales; Poaceae.
AUGUCGCCUCCGCUCGAUUCGCCGGAAGACCGCCCAGUGUCGCCUCCGCCGACUUCGCCAGAAGACAAUCCGUCGUCCGCGAAGAUUCAAAGUUCUGUUUCUUUGUUGCCUUCCAUGCAUCGCUUCAUGGUUUUGAGCAUGGAUGCAGGUCACUCCUUUUCCUUGAUGCAGUAUCUCCAAAACCGAAUUAAGAAGUGGAAGUUACUGACUGCUACUUCAGUUGACGGAGAAGGCGAUGUGUUCGCAGUUGUAUUCACUGUAGUGCACGACAAGAACCGUGAAAAUUGGCACUGGUUUCUUCAGCAACUAAAAUCUUCACGAUGCAAUUGGACGAUUCGUGGGCUGAAGAAGUAA